ACAAAAGAGGCAGGGAGAUUAAAUUCUUGUCGAUUUCGCGGUCAAGUCUUGGGAGGAUAAGAUCUUAGGCGCGGUCAUACGCAGCCACCGGUAACGGAUAAGGAUCACGCGAUACUUUAAGAACAAGGCUUUCAGCCUUGUUUUUUUUU
This 149-nucleotide small RNA is filed under the name Rhizobium giardinii. RNAcentral's name for it is "Alphaproteobacterial sRNA ar9". It matches the Rfam family "Alphaproteobacterial sRNA ar9". Lineage: Bacteria; Pseudomonadati; Pseudomonadota; Alphaproteobacteria; Hyphomicrobiales; Rhizobiaceae. The record is from Rfam by way of RNAcentral.